AAAGUCCCUUCGGGGGCGAGUAGAGCGGCGAAAGGACUAGUAAUGCGUUUCUAUGUACCCCAUGGUCGGGGAUAGCCCGGGGAAACCCGGAUUAAUACCCGACGCCCUCUUCGGAGGAAAGAUUUAUCGCCAUGGGAGCAGGGAACGUCCUAUCGGGUAGUUGGUGAGGUAAUAGCUCACCAAGCCUUAGACGGGUAGCGGGUGUGAGAGCAUGACCCGCAGUAUCGGGACUGAGACACUGCCCGGACUCCUACGGGAGGCUGCAGUAACGAAUAUUCCGCAAUGCACGAAAGUGUGACGGAGCAAUGCCGCGUGCAGGAUGAAUCCCCUCGGGGUGUAAACUGCUGUCAGUGACUAGAAAAAAAAUGAUCAGUCGCAAAGGAAGGACCGGCUAAUCUCGUGCCAGCAGCCGCGGUAAUACGAGAGGUCCGAGCGUUACGCGGAAUUACUGGGCUUAAAGCGUACGUAGGCGGAUCUACAGGUAUCCUGUGAAAGCCCACGGCUCAACCGUGGAAUUGCAGGGUAAACCGUAGAUCUUGAGGUGGCUAGGGGCUCUCGGAACGGUAGGUGGAGUGGUGAAAUGCGUUGAUAUCUACCGGAACGCCAAAGGGGAAGCCAGGGAGCUGGGGCCAUUCUGACGCUGAGGUACGAAAGCGUGGGUAGCGAACGGGAUUAGAUACCCCGGUAGUCCACGCCGUAAACGAUGUGCACUAGGUCGAGGGGGUUUGACGCCGCUCUCGGCUGAAGCGAAAGUGUUAAGUGCACCGCCUGGGGAGUACGGCCGCAAGGCUAAAACUCAAAGGAAUUGACGGGGGCUCACACAAGCGGUGGAGCAUGUGGCUUAAUUCGAAGCAACGCGAAGAACCUUAUCCUGGGUUUGACAUGCAUGGAUUAGCUUCCUGAAAGGGAAGUGACGCGGCUUGCCGUGGAACAUGCACAGGUGCUGCAUGGCUGUCGUCAGCUCGUGCUGUGAAGUGUCGGGUUAAGUCCCUUAACGAGCGCAACCCCUAUCACUAGUUGCUAGCGAGUAAUGUCGAGGACUCUAGUGAGACUGCCGGUGCAAACCGGAGGAAAAGGUGGGGGAUGACGUCAAGUCCGCAUGGCCUU
This 1107-nucleotide ribosomal RNA is filed under the name uncultured bacterium. RNAcentral describes it as "bacterial SSU rRNA". It matches the Rfam family "Bacterial small subunit ribosomal RNA", at positions 71 to 1202 of the family's 1533-position model. The record is from RNAcentral.